GAUGAACGCUGGCGGCGUGCCUAAUACAUGCAAGUCGAGCGAACGGACGAGAAGCUUGCUUCUCCGAUGUUAGCGGCGGACGGGUGAGUAACACGUGGAUAACCUACCUAUAAGACUGGGAUAACUUCGGGAAACCGUAGCUAAUACCGGAUAAUAUUUUGAACCGCAUGGUUCAAACGUGAAAGACGGUCUUGCUGUCACUUAUAGCUGGAUCAGCGCUGCAUUAGCUAGUUGGUAAGGUAACGGCUUACCAAGGCAACGAUGCAUAGCCGACCUGAGAGGGUGAUCGGCCACACUGGAACUGAGACACGGUCCAGACUCCUACGGGAGGCAGCAGUAGGGAAUCUUCCGCAAUGGGCGAAAGCCUGACGGAGCAACGCCGCGUGAGGCAUGAAGGUCUUCGGAUCGUAGAACUCUGUUAUUAGGGAAGAACAUAUGUGUAAGUAACUGUGCACAUCUUGACGGUACCUAAUCAGAAAGCCACGGCUAACUACGUG
This 497-nucleotide ribosomal RNA is filed under the name uncultured bacterium. RNAcentral's name for it is "partial 16S ribosomal RNA". It matches the Rfam family "Bacterial small subunit ribosomal RNA", at positions 28 to 507 of the family's 1533-position model. The record is from RNAcentral.